Molecule: ribosomal RNA, 253 nt
Filed under: uncultured bacterium
Lineage: Bacteria
Description: partial 16S ribosomal RNA
Rfam family: Bacterial small subunit ribosomal RNA
Source: RNAcentral
UACGGAGGGUGCAAGCGUUAUCCGGAUUCACUGGGUUUAAAGGGUGCGUAGGUGGGUUGGUAAGUCAGUGGUGAAAUCUCCGUGCUUAACAUGGAAACUGCCAUUGAUACUACUGGUCUUGAAUACUGUGGAGGUCAGCGGAAUAUGUCAUGUAGCGGUGAAAUGCUUAGAUAUGACAUAGAACACCAAUUGCGAAGGCAGCUGGCUACACAAAUAUUGACACUGAGGCACGAAAGCGUGGGGAUCAAACAGG